GAUGAACGCUGGCGGCGUGCCUAAUACAUGCAAGUCGAGCGAACGGACGAGAAGCUUGCUUCUCUGAUGUUAGCGGCGGACGGGUGAGUAACACGUGGAUAACCUACCUAUAAGACUGGGAUAACUUCGUGAAACCGUAGCUAAUACCGGAUAAUAUUUUGAACCGCAUGGUUCAAAAGUGAAAGACGGUCUUGCUGUCACUUAUAGAUGGUUCCGCGCUGCAUUAGCUAGUUGGUAAGGUAACGGCUUACCAAGGCAACGAUGCAUAGCCGACCUGAGAGGGUGAUCGGCCACACUGGAACUGAGACACGGUCCAGACUCCUACGGGAGGCAGCAGUAGGGAAUCUUCCGCAAUGGGCGAAAGCCUGACGGAGCCACGCCGCGUGAGUGAUGAAGGUCUUCGGAUCGUAAAACUCUGUUAUUAGGGAAGAACAUAUGUGUAAGUAACUGUGCACAUCUUGACGGUACCUAAUCAGAAAGCCACGGCUAACUACGUG
Molecule: ribosomal RNA, 497 nt
Filed under: uncultured bacterium
Lineage: Bacteria
Description: partial 16S ribosomal RNA
Rfam family: Bacterial small subunit ribosomal RNA
Source: RNAcentral